This is a non-coding RNA of Osmia lignaria (orchard mason bee), 1388 nucleotides long. The record is from RefSeq and is a predicted model, not a curated record. Lineage: Eukaryota; Metazoa; Arthropoda; Insecta; Hymenoptera; Megachilidae.
AUGAAACAACAGCUUUGUGCGACCAGUUUAACGGUGGGGAUGCCGAGGAAUAUUUGUACUUGUGAUGAAAAAUAGCUGAUCUGAAGCACUCGCAAUGAACUCCGUUUAUUAACAGGGACGAUACGAGAUAAAAGCGCGCGAGUUUAAUAUUAUUUCAGUGCGCGGUCAUUUUCGGUAAAUUUUAUUAAAAUAGUAAUGAAAUAAUUGUAAAUCAAUUUUGGUAAAUUUAAUUUUUUUACCAAUUAAGUAUUUUAUAUAAUAAAAUAUUUAGGGUAAAUAGUUGCUUAUUUUAUUAACCAGGCUCUUUAAAAAUGGCGACGGUUUUGGAGAAAUAAAAUGGAGGAGAGGUUAUAGGUGAAAAGAUGAAAAUAUUCAUUCAAAUUCUUCUCGUCGUUGUAUUUCAAUACAAAUUUAUUUCUGUUGCAAAGCAAAUCGGUUUCUGAUACUAUCAUCUCACAGUAAUGACGUAGAUUUUGAAAAUAUGUAACAUAGAUUUCCAUUUUGUGUAAUACAUCAAAACUUCACUAAUAUUUUAGGAAUAUUUUAGGAAUAAUAUUUUCUUAUUUAGGGAGAAAUGUGUGUCAUUGCUGUUGAAACAUGCGUUUUCCAUUGAAAGACUUAAGUAUGUCAUUUCGAUGAUAUUAUAUAUUUACGUUUUCUGAUAAUAUCAUAUGGUAACAAUGACGUAGAUGCUGUUCAACAUGAUGCAACUUUCCUUGGACGUUUCUCUCUUUUUUUUUUGGCAGAGAAAUUAUCAGUUUCUACAAAAUAGGAGACGAAGAAAGAAGAAAAGAACACGAUCUUGUGUAAUCUUUGCAGGGUGUGCGAACGCGUAACUAUAGAACAGUCUGAUACAAUGUCACUGACACAGCAGAACAUGAGAUACAUGUGAUCUUUUCGAAACUUCUACCAAUGGCUGUGAUUGGUUGUUUCAUUCGGCAUCCUUUCAUUUCGACCAAUCAGACACGUCGCUUGUGACGCAGUAGAGUAUUCCUCUUCGAAGCUUCGUUCGUCUUGCACGUGUCUGCAACAGACCUGUUCGUGUAAUUCGUUAGGUAUCGGCCGAUAGCAGAAUACACCGAACAUUGCCGAGCGUUGCCGAAGUGCCGACCGGUCUACGAUGGGAAGGAAGGUCUCGCCAUUGCUCUCUCGAGCGUCGAACUGAUAAGACGUGUUUCGAGCAUCCUUCCGCAUAAGUAAUGGAUAUCUGAUAGAUUUUGAAAGGACACCAUGACACCUGAUAUGGGUUUGACAUAGAAUUUCAUAAGAAUUUAUUGUUUUAAUUUAUUCUAAUCAAUUAUUAACGUUUAUUAUUACUUAUUUUUUCAUUGAGUCGUUGUUAAUUGUAAGCAUUUUUGAUAAUUAAUUGGUACCAAGGUACCAAGAAA